CCAAACAAAAGACAUUCUAUAAUCAGGGGAGAAGUCUUCUCUAUAUCUCUCUUAUAUGAGCAAAUUUAAUGACCUCCACCAUCUCUAAGAACAAGCAGCUAUUUCUGUAGAGAAAGAUCGUCUUUGGAUAACAAUACAUGAUUUUAGGCUCCAAAAGUUAAAACGUGUUUGUAAUGUUGAUAUUAUGCAGAGGUCUUGACAGAACUUGGCAGUCUCUGAGGCUACAGAGAAGUGUGAAAAAGAGCAUAGAGAUUUCAGAAGGAGGCAGAUUCAGUCAGACGUACUGAAUCCCGUUUGAUCUCAACUCAGGCACACUCCAGAUGGACGGAGCAGGAAAACCCUUAGUGAAACCUGCCUCUGCAGGUUGAUGGCUUGGGAGGAAAGGCAUUAUGGAAAAUGAUUAGAUGUGAGAAUCACAGCAAAGGAAGAAUGGGCAUGAAUAGUAAAUGGUAAAUGUGGGGAUACAGUACUGAACAGCACACUGGAGUUUUUGUCCAGAAGUUUGACUUUAGAAGAUAAGAAAUAACUGAGCGUACAAGCAGGAGUUAGAGGAAGAGACUCAGUACAGAAGAGACAGGAACAAAAGUUCACCUCCAUUCAAUGGGAAAGGAUACAGAUCAAGAGUUCAGGAAAAGUAGGAGAAAGAAGCUCUAUUCCAGAAGCAGUCUGGAGCACAAAGAAUCCCUAAUCACUGACAUUAAGAAAGAAGAAAAAUAUUCCUAGGACGAUCCUGGAGAGCAAAG
RNAcentral lists this non-coding RNA (743 nucleotides) under Pan troglodytes (chimpanzee). Lineage: Eukaryota; Metazoa; Chordata; Mammalia; Primates; Hominidae. The record is from RNAcentral.